This 587-nucleotide long non-coding RNA is filed under the name Anser cygnoides (Swan goose). RNAcentral describes it as "lncRNA (ENSACDG00005011272.1)". Lineage: Eukaryota; Metazoa; Chordata; Aves; Anseriformes; Anatidae. The record is from RNAcentral.
AGAAGGACCAAGAAGGGCCAAGAAGGGCCAAGAAGGGCCAAGAAGGGCCAAGAAGGGCCAAGAAGGGCCAAGAAGGGCCAAGAAGGGCCAAGAAGGGCCAAGAAGGGCCAAGAAGGACCAAGAGGAGGCUCGGGAGAAGGUGAGGAACCAAGAGGAGGCUCAGGAGAUGGAGAAGGACCAAGAGGAGGCUCAGGAGAAGAUGGAGGACCAAGAAGGACCAAGAGGAGGCUCAGGAGAAGACCGAGGAGGCCACCAACGAGGAAGAUACAAUAAGGAGGCCACCAAUGAGGAAGAUACAACAAGGAGGAUACACCGAGGAGGCUACACCGAGGAGGAGGAGGAGGCCACCACCGCUACUCACCGGGGUUGAUGAUCUUCACCACGGCGUUGCCGUGCGGGUGGGCGGCGUGGCAGUAGAAGGGCUGCUGCGCCUUCCCGUCCUGCAGCGGCAGCUGCAGCCGGCUGGCGGCCAUGUUGCCCCCGGCCCCGCGGGCUUCUGGGAAGGCGACGGCUUUGGGGGCGGCCACGCUGUCGUUGAUCGCGUUCGUCCAGGUGAGGGUGACGCCGCCGGGGACGUAGCCCACGGC